UGAGUGGGCCGGGUGACUGCUCACGGAACUUUUCGUGAGAGGAAAGUCCGGACUCCAAAGGGCAAGGUGCUGGGUAACGCCCAGGCGGAGUAAUCCGACACCAGCGCCACAGAAAAUAUACCGCCGACGGCAAAAGCUCAGGUUUUUGCCAGGUAAGGGUGAAAUGGUGGGGUAAGAGCCCACCGCGCCUGUGGUAACACAGGUGGCAGGGUAAGCGUCACCUGGAGCAAAACCAAAUAGGGGGACGAUCCCCGGUUUGUCAGGGGAACCCAUCCUCUACGGAUCGGGAGAGAGACUGGCCCGGUCGAGGUUCCCGGGUAGGUUGCUUGAAGCCUAGGGUAACUUAGGUUCCAGAGAAAUGGUCACCACUGGAUGAAAUGCGUUUCAUCCAGUACAGAAUCCGGCUUACAGGCCCACUCCUCCA
Molecule: RNase P RNA, 424 nt
Filed under: Nitrospirota bacterium
Lineage: Bacteria; Pseudomonadati; Nitrospirota
Description: RNase P RNA component class A
Rfam family: Bacterial RNase P class A
About the family: Ribonuclease P (RNase P) is a ubiquitous endoribonuclease, found in archaea, bacteria and eukarya as well as chloroplasts and mitochondria. Its best characterised activity is the generation of mature 5'-ends of tRNAs by cleaving the 5'-leader elements of precursor-tRNAs. Cellular RNase Ps are ribonucleoproteins.
Source: RNAcentral